AUGUCUGUGAUGCUUCAGUGGCUGGGGCAGGCAUUGCUCAGCACAGUGAAUCAGCUCCUGGAGCCUGCCCCGGCUCCUUUCCUGGCUCCCUUCCUGCCGGGAACGCUCCCAGAGCUGCCCAUGGGUCUUCUCUCACCCAGGAACGCUCCCAGAGCAGCCCCUGGCUCUGCCCUCACCCAGGAACACUCCCAGAGCAGCCCCUGGCUCUGCCCUCACCCAGGAACACUCCCAGAGCAGCCCCUGGCUCUGCCCUCACCCAGGAACGCUCCCAGAGCAGCCCCUGGCUCUGCCCUCACCCAGGAACACUCCCAGAGCAGCCCCUGGCUCUGCCCUCACCCAGGAACGCUCCCAGAGCUGCCCCUGGCUCCUCUCAUCCCAGGAACACUCCCAGAGCAGCCCCUGGCUCGCCCACCGGACCCCCAGAGCUGCCCCUGGCCCCUCAUCCCAGGAACACCCCAGAGCAGCCCCUGGCUCCGCUCCACCCAGGAACGCUCCCAGAGCUGCCCCUGGCUCCUCUCAUCCCAGGAACACUCCCAGAGCUGCUCCUGGUUCUGCCCUCACCCAGAAACGCUCCCAGAGCUGCUCCUGGCUCCCUUCUGGAGCUGCCCCUGGCUCCUCUUAUCCCAGGAACACUCCCAGAACUGUCCCUGGCUCUGCCCUCACCCAGAAACGCUCUCAGAGCUGCCCCUGGCUCCUCUCAUCCCAGGAACGCUCCCAGAGCUGCUCCUGGCUCCCUUCUGGAGCUGCCCCUGGCUCCUCUCAUCCCAGGAACGCUCCCAGAGCUGCUCCUGGCUGUGCCCUCACCCAGGAACUCUCCUGGAGCUGCCCCUGGUUCUGCCCUCCUGGUCAUCCCCUCUUGGAGCUGCCGCGGGCUCUGCCCUCCCAGAGGCUGCCCCUGUUUCUGCCUUCACCCAGGAAUGCUCCCAGCCCUGCCCUGCCUGUCCCCUCCCGGCCCUGCCCCUGGCCCCCUCACCCCGAAACGCUCCUGGCCCCACAGCCCCAGCAGCUGUGGGGGUUGUGCUGCCCUUCUGCCCUGGGUUUGUUAUUUUUUAUUAA
This 1056-nucleotide long non-coding RNA is filed under the name Camarhynchus parvulus. Its description in RNAcentral is "lncRNA (ENSCPVG00000017863.1)". The record is from RNAcentral. Lineage: Eukaryota; Metazoa; Chordata; Aves; Passeriformes; Thraupidae.